Molecule: non-coding RNA, 45 nt
Filed under: Schistosoma mattheei
Lineage: Eukaryota; Metazoa; Platyhelminthes; Trematoda; Strigeidida; Schistosomatidae
Source: RNAcentral
AUCAAACUGACUAGUUCCAAACAGGACGAAACGCGCGUCCAGAAU